RNAcentral lists this microRNA precursor (137 nucleotides) under Hordeum vulgare. Its description in RNAcentral is "microRNA MIR1122". It matches the Rfam family "MIR1120/MIR1122 microRNA precursor family". The record is from RNAcentral. Lineage: Eukaryota; Viridiplantae; Streptophyta; Magnoliopsida; Poales; Poaceae.
CAUCUACUCUCUCCCUCCUAAAAUUCUUGUUUUAGAUUUGUUUAGAUAUGAAUGUAUCUAGUCAUGUUUUAAUAUUUAGAUUACAUUCAUUUCUUGACAAAUCUAAGAUAAGAAUUUUGGAACUGAGGGGUUAUGAA